This 226-nucleotide long non-coding RNA is filed under the name Mytilus galloprovincialis (Mediterranean mussel). The record is from RNAcentral. Lineage: Eukaryota; Metazoa; Mollusca; Bivalvia; Mytilida; Mytilidae.
AAAAAACUAGAUUUACAGUUUAUUAGUAAUUCCGUCGUAAGUCGUCGAGUUUAAAAACACAACACAUUAUGAAAAAUAAAUUACAUAAAAGGGCAGAAAAUAUAGUUUGUUUAGGUUGAGGCGGUGACAAUCUAUCUAUAGUAUAUAUAUUUCUGGAGGAAAAUUACAGAACAACUCAUGUGUGCUGUUAGAUUACCAACAACUCAUUUGUGCUGUUAAAUUACGG